Molecule: ribosomal RNA, 460 nt
Filed under: uncultured bacterium
Lineage: Bacteria
Description: partial 16S ribosomal RNA
Rfam family: Bacterial small subunit ribosomal RNA
Source: RNAcentral
CCUACGGGAGGCAGCAGUGAGGAAUAUUGGUCAAUGGACGAGAGUCUGAACCAGCCAAGUAGCGUGAAGGAUGACUGCCCUAUGGGUUGUAAACUUCUUUUAUAUGGGAAUAAACUGUUCCACGUGUGGGAUUUUGUAUGUACCAUAUGAAUAAGGAUCGGCUAACUCCGUGCCAGCAGCCGCGGUAAUACGGAGGAUCCGAGCGUUAUCCGGAUUUAUUGGGUUUAAAGGGAGCGUAGGUGGAUUGUUAAGUCAGUUGUGAAAGUUUGCGGCUCAACCGUAAAAUUGCAGUUGAAACUGGCAGUCUUGAGUACAGUAGAGGUGGGCGGAAUUCGUGGUGUAGCGGUGAAAUGCUUAGAGAUCACGAAGAACUCCGAUUGCGAAGGCAGUUCACUGGACUGCAACUGACACUGAGGCUCGAAAGUGUGGGUAUCAAACAGGAUUAGAUACCCGGGUAGUC